GCUUGUAAAAAGCUGUCGCACUCACAGAGUUCAUCAUAUUUGCUGACUGUGGCCACAGGCGGAGAGGAUGUGAUGAUGCUCUGAUAAGAUGCUCUUCUUCUCGUUUCUGUCUUCCUCAUUUUUAGGCUGCUGUGCCCCUCUGCUCAUAUAAAAACCUCCUGAACGACUGCAGAUAGAACCACUCCUUACAGCUAACUGAAGGUCACAGACCUUCCACCUGAGCAGUUUCAGGACAAACAAAGCAGUGAAGGUGGAAAAGUUUGACAUUUUUAAAAGACUUUUUAAAGAUGAAGGUGCUGCCGUGCUUCAUGCUGGCUGUGCUACUGUCAGCUGGAACCAGUCUGGCUGUGGAUGUGAACCGGUUAACUCGUAUUAUAAAAGCCAUAAGGACAGAGUAAGUGAACUUUAUUAUGUCAUUCAUCAGUAAUCUUCCUGUUUUGUCUUUUUAUUGCUUAUUUGUGAGGGACUGUGCAUAAAACCACUGACCUCAGAUGACAAAUUUCUUCUGGGGCACAACAUUAAAUAAGCUGGAUAUCAGCUGAUGAGGCUUUUCAGGGGCUCACACUGAUAUCAGUGAUUAAUAGUAAUAAAGAACAACAAAAAUAAUAUUAUAAAAAAAAUAGAAGAAAACAAAACUUUGAGUGAAGUAUUUUAUAUUAAAAUCAUCUUUCCAAAGGAAACUGUCGCUCAUUUCUAAUCUGAGAGCUGUUGCAGUCUGGAGUCACAUGUGUGUUUGUACAUUUUUAUUAUUGUUUUUUAAAACACUAAAGUUUUGCUAUUAUUCUACUUUUUGUGCUCGCGUGCUUCCACGUUCAUCUUCAUGGUAUUGUUCGAUAAAUAAGAACUGCAGAUGAAAAUCGGUGACUACAUCGAGCACUUCUACACAUCACAGUCUCAGACAACUAGAAAAAUUUGCAUUUCCUGCGAAAAUGCUGUGUGGAUGCCUUAACGCUGAAGAUGUCUGCUGAAAAAAGCUGAAAA
Haplochromis burtoni (Burton's mouthbrooder) is the source of this 981-nucleotide long non-coding RNA. RefSeq lists it as uncharacterized. The record is from RefSeq and is a predicted model, not a curated record. The transcript has 3 exons. Lineage: Eukaryota; Metazoa; Chordata; Actinopteri; Cichliformes; Cichlidae.